RNAcentral lists this ribosomal RNA (245 nucleotides) under uncultured Bacillota bacterium. Its description in RNAcentral is "uncultured Firmicutes bacterium partial 16S ribosomal RNA". It matches the Rfam family "Bacterial small subunit ribosomal RNA", at positions 524 to 768 of the family's 1533-position model. The record is from RNAcentral. Lineage: Bacteria; Bacillati; Bacillota.
UACGGAGGGUGCAAGCGUUAGUCGGAAUUACUGGGCGUAAAGGGCGCGUAGGCGGAUAUAUAAGUCAGAUGUGAAAUUUCGGUGCUCAACAUCGAAGCGGCAUCUGAAACUGUAUAUCUGGAGGGAGUGAGGAGAAAGCGGAAUUCCAUGUGUAGCGGUGAAAUGCGUAGAUAUAUGGAAGAACACCUGUGGCGAAAGCGGCUUUCUAUCAUACCCCUGACGCUGAGGCGCGAAAGUAAGGGGAU